UGUCCGGCGGCUCCAGCCUCAGCUCGGCUCAACGCUCAGAGAAACGAAGCAGCUCAAUAAAAAAAUGUGAUAUUAGUUUUUAUGGGUAUUUACACUUUGGUGAGGGGAGCUGAGUGCGGAAGCUCCAUUAAUCAGCCCCCAACCUCGGGUUUUCAUACUGAGUUUAU
This 167-nucleotide long non-coding RNA is filed under the name Prolemur simus (greater bamboo lemur). RNAcentral's name for it is "HOXA transcript at the distal tip, conserved region 4 (ENSPSMG00000014777.1)". It matches the Rfam family "HOXA transcript at the distal tip, conserved region 4". Lineage: Eukaryota; Metazoa; Chordata; Mammalia; Primates; Lemuridae. The record is from RNAcentral.